Molecule: ribosomal RNA, 505 nt
Filed under: uncultured bacterium
Lineage: Bacteria
Description: bacterial SSU rRNA
Rfam family: Bacterial small subunit ribosomal RNA
Source: RNAcentral
GAUCCUGGCUCAGGAUGAACGCUAGCUACAGGCUUAACACAUGCAAGUCGAGGGGAAACGAUAUUGGAAGCUUGCUUCCGAUAGGCGUCGACCGGCGCACGGGUGAGUAACGCGUAUCCAACCUGCCCAUCACUUGGGAGUAACCUUGCGAAAGUAAGACUAAUGCCCAAUGACAUUUAUAGAAGGCAUCCGAAAUGAAUUAAAGAUUUAUCGGUGAUGGAUGGGGAUGCGUCUGAUUAGCUUGUUGGCGGGGUAACGGCCCACCAAGCCCACGAUCAGUAGGGGUUCUGAGAGGAAGGUCCCCCACAUUGGAACUGAGACACGGUCCAAACUCCUACGGGAGGCAGCAGUGAGGAAUAUUGGUCAAUGGACGGAAGUCUGAGCCAGCCAAGUAGCGUGCAGGAUGACGGCCCUAUGGGUUGUAAACUGCUUUUAUGUGGGAAUAAAGUGAGGGACGUGUCCCUUUUUGUAGGUACCACAUGAAUAAGGACCGGCUAAUUCCGUG